Molecule: ribosomal RNA, 461 nt
Filed under: uncultured bacterium
Lineage: Bacteria
Description: partial 16S ribosomal RNA
Rfam family: Bacterial small subunit ribosomal RNA
Source: RNAcentral
CCUACGGGUGGCAGCAGUGAGGAAUAUUGGUCAAUGGGCGGAAGCCUGAACCAGCCAAGUCGCGUGAGGGAUUAAGGCCCUGCGGGUCGUAAACCUCUUUUGCCGGGGAGCAGUGGUCCGGACGCGUCCGGACCGGGAGAGUACCCGGAGAAAAAGCAUCGGCUAACUCCGUGCCAGCAGCCGCGGUAAUACGUAGGAGGCGGGCGUUAUCCGGAAUGACUGGGCGUAAGGGAUGCGUAGGUGGUUUGGCAAGUUAGUAGCGAAACUCCAAGGCUCAACCUUGGAACUACUACUAAAACUGUUGGACUUGAGUGCAGGAGGGGCAACCGGAAUUCCUAGUGUAGCGGUGGAAUGCGUAGAUAUUAGGAGGAACACCAGUGGCGAAGGCGGGUUGCUAGACUGUAACUGACACUGAGGCACGAAAGCGUGGGGAGCAAACAGGAUUAGAUACCCUUGUAGUC